UGCAAGUCGAACGGACAGAGAAGAGCUUGCUCUUCGAAGUUAGUGGCGGACGGGUGAGUAACGCGUGGGUAACCUGCCCUAUGCAGGGGGAUAACGUUUGGAAACGAACGCUAAUACCGCAUAAUCUGGUUGGUUCGCAUGAACUGAUUAGCAAAGAUUUAUCGGCAUAGGAUGGACCCGCGUUGGAUUAGCUAGUUGGUGAGAUAAAAGCUCACCAAGGCGACGAUCCAUAGCCGGCCUGAGAGGGUGAACGGCCACACUGGGACUGAGACACGGCCCAGACUCCUACGGGAGGCAGCAGUGGGGAAUAUUGCACAAUGGGCGCAAGCCUGAUGCAGCGACGCCGCGUGAAGGAUGAAGGUUUUCGGAUCGUAAACUUCUAUCAGCAGGGAAGAAACCAAUGACGGUACCUGACUAAGAAGCCCCGGCUAACUACGUGCCAGCAGCCGCGGUAAUACGUAGGGGGCAAGCGUUAUCCGGAUUCACUGGGUGUAAAGGGUGCGUAGGUGGCAUGGUAAGUCAGAUGUGAAAUUUAGGAGCUCAACUUCUAAGCUGCAUCUGAAACUGCUAAGCUAGAGUGCAGGAGAGGAAAGCGGAAUUCCGAGUGUAGCGGUGAAAUGCGUAGAGAUUCGGAGGAACACCAGUAG
This 647-nucleotide ribosomal RNA is filed under the name uncultured bacterium. Its description in RNAcentral is "bacterial SSU rRNA". It matches the Rfam family "Bacterial small subunit ribosomal RNA", at positions 56 to 715 of the family's 1533-position model. The record is from RNAcentral.